This 468-nucleotide ribosomal RNA is filed under the name uncultured bacterium. Its description in RNAcentral is "partial 16S ribosomal RNA". It matches the Rfam family "Bacterial small subunit ribosomal RNA", at positions 28 to 507 of the family's 1533-position model. The record is from RNAcentral.
GACGAACGCUGGCGGCGUGCUUAACACAUGCAAGUCGAACGGAAAGACCCUGCUUUUGUGGGGUGCUCGAGUGGCGAACGGGUGAGUAACACGUGAGUAACCUGCCCUUUACUUUGGGAUAACUUCAGGAAACUGGGGCUAAUACCGGAUAGGAGCUCCUGCUGCAUGGUGGGGGUUGGAAAGUUUCGGCGGUUGGGGAUGGACUCGCGGCUUAUCAGCUUGUUGGUGGGGUAGUGGCUUACCAAGGCUUUGACGGGUAGCCGGCAUGAGAGGGUGACCGGCCACAUUGGGACUGAGAUACGGCCCAGACUCCUACGGGAGGCAGCAGUGGGGAAUAUUGCACAAUGGGCGGAAGCCUGAUGCAGAAACGCCGCGUGCGGGAUGACGGCCUUCGGGUUGUAAACCGCUUUCGCCUGUGACGAAGCGUGAGUGACGGUAAUGGGUAAAGAAGCACCGGCUAACUACGUG